AGCUUUUAAUGACUUUUUCAUUCUCUGUUUAGCUGUGUAUUUCUUCAAACCCUGAAAUCCUCUGCACAAGUGAGUUCAGCCCUUCAGAGUCACUGUGCACUUUCAGAAGCCACGGAAACCACUAGUGAAAGCAACCAUGAGGAUCCAGUAGCAGUUCACUCUAAGGUGGUUGACUUGGGUCAGAGUGAAGCUCAGUGGUUUCAAGAGGCCAGGAGUCUGAGUGAGCAGCUGAGAGACACCUACACCAAAGCCACUUUCCGCCACUUGAACCUGCCAGAGGUGUGUUCCAGCCUCAGCA
This is a long non-coding RNA of Grammomys surdaster, 298 nucleotides long. RefSeq lists it as uncharacterized. The transcript is spliced from 3 exons. The record is from RefSeq and is a predicted model, not a curated record. Lineage: Eukaryota; Metazoa; Chordata; Mammalia; Rodentia; Muridae.